This 806-nucleotide long non-coding RNA is filed under the name Vulpes vulpes (red fox). RNAcentral's name for it is "lncRNA (ENSVVUG00000022928.1)". The record is from RNAcentral. Lineage: Eukaryota; Metazoa; Chordata; Mammalia; Carnivora; Canidae.
GUCAUUCUUUCCAACACUUGUCACUCUCUGAUUUUUUGGUAGUAGCCAUCCUAGUGGGUGUGAAGCAGGCUUCUCAUGUGGCUUUGAUUUGCAGGUGUUGGAUUUUCUUCUAAGAACAAUAGGGACAUUCAGAGGAUUGGAGGUUGUGCCAACUUCCUCACCAUGGGCAGAUUUGGAGAAAGAGUAACACCAGUGUCUCUGAUGUCACCACUCAGCCCAGGCAACCUGCUGGGGAAUAUUGUAUAUUUAGGGCAGAGAUUCUUUGCCGGGAUUUCGAGACAUAGGGAUCAAGAUGCCACAUCAAGAGGCUAUGUGACCUUUGACAGAAACCCAUUCCUGAUUUGGCCCAGAUGUCAAACCUUCUCCAGGCACUGGCUGGAAGAGACCCCCGGGCCUGCGCAGGGUGCCAGCCACUCUCUAAAGAAUACUUGCUGGAUCUCCCCAGGGAUUCUGGUGAGGAAGGCCAAGGAUUUGUUCUUUGAAUGACCUCUCCCUCCUCGGAAAAGGGCACAACGAAGGAAAGUGAAUGAAGUGCUUGAGGUAUUCCCACAAGAGGAUCACACAAACAAAGGCAUCAAGGAACCACCAGACACGGACCAAGUAAGGAACAUUUUGUCCCAGCCCUUCUGUACGUUCCCUCUAUCAGCUAAUCCCACUACAGCGCUCCUGUGGUGGCUCCUGUCAAGUUAAAAGUGAGAUAUUCCAAACAUAUGAUGUUCAAGGGUUGGGGCUGUGUCUUCUCCUGAGUAGUGUGCCUUCCAGCAUUUCUCAAAACAUGAUCUGAAGACCCUUCUGUACCAGAAAUC